AUCAUCAGAGGGGACUUUUUUUAAUCAGGUUAGAGGAUUAAGAUUGUUCAUGCAGAUUACUUUAUAACCCAGAUUGAGGGAGAGGAGAGGGAUUCUUCUGCAGGAUUUCAAGUGAGAAGGACCUCUCCUUCUAAGCAGCCAGAAUGCCUGUCAUAAACAUGGACGAGCUGACUGACAAGGACAAGGCUGUAAUGGAAGUAACUCAACUUAAACUUGAAGUGAAACUUGAAAGGUGGUUGACAUCUAAGUGCUGUGAGGAAGUCAAGGACUACAUUCAGGCAGGAGAGGAGGAGGACACCCUUGUCAAAGGCAUUUCAGAGGAUAAGAACCCCUUCAAGGAAAAAGGUGGCUGUGUCAUCUUCUAAACUGAACCUAAGGAGCUCUUCAUAUCUCAGAUUAGAACCCAAGAACAUUCUCCGUCCCCUUCAUAACAUGGAUUUGCAGUCUAAGAAGACUGGAGGUAUAUAUUAAAAAUAAACAUAUUACAAAAUGUCCCAUGUAAACUAUUCCCCCUCUUCUAGUCGGAUCUAUAGCCUUGUAAAAUAACUAUUUGAAAAGAUGCAAUAAAAAGAGUUGUAUUUGCCAUGGAUAUGUAAUUCUUCUCUCUCAUGUGUUGCAUUGUCUGGGAGACUGGGCCCAUGGGUUGUUUCAUAUACAGAAGCAACUGUCAUUAAAACAUGCUUGUUUAUAAUUCA
This is an RNA transcript of Eleginops maclovinus (Patagonian blennie), 695 nucleotides long. It is a transcript of the gene named guanine nucleotide binding protein (G protein), gamma transducing activity polypeptide 1, with no coding region annotated. The transcript is spliced from 3 exons. The record is from RefSeq and is a predicted model, not a curated record. NCBI's taxonomy places the organism in Eukaryota, Metazoa, Chordata, Actinopteri, Perciformes, Eleginopidae.